RNAcentral lists this long non-coding RNA (241 nucleotides) under Mytilus galloprovincialis (Mediterranean mussel). Lineage: Eukaryota; Metazoa; Mollusca; Bivalvia; Mytilida; Mytilidae. The record is from RNAcentral.
AUUGCUUUUUAUGCCCCACCUACGAUAGUAGAGGGGCAUUAUGUAUUCUGGUCUGUGGCUCCGUUCGUCUGUCCGUCCGUCUGUGGUUCCGUUCGUCUGUCCAGGUUAAAGUUUUUGGUCAAGGUAGUUUUUUAUGAAGCUGAAGUCCAAUCAACUUGAAACUUAGUACACUUGUUGCUUAUGAGAUGAUCUUUCUAAUUUUUAAGCCAAAUUAGACUUUUGACCCCAAUUUCACGGUCCA